GAUGAACGCUGGCGGCGUGCCUAAUACAUGCAAGUCGAGCGAACGGACGAGAAGCUUGCUUCUCUGAUGUUAGCGGCGGACGGGUGAGUAACACGUGGAUAACCUACCUAUAAGACUGGGAUAACUUCGGGAAACCGGAGCUAAUACCGGAUAAUAUUUUGAACCGCAUGGUUCAAAAGUGAAAGACGGUCUUGCUGUCACUUAUAGAUGGAUCCGCGCUGCAUUAGCUAGUUGGUAAGGUAACGGCUUACCAAGGCAACGAUGCAUAGCCGACCUGAGAGGGUGAUCGGCCACACUGGAACUGUGACACGGUCCAGACUCCUACGGGAGGCAGCAGUAGGGAAUCUUCCGCAAUGGGCGAAAGCCUGACGGAGCAACGCCGCGUGAGUGAUGAAGGUCUUCGGAUCGUAAAACUCUGUUAUUAGGGAAGAACAUAUGUGUAAGUAACUGUGCACAUCUUGACGGUACCUAAUUAGAAAGCCACGGCUAACUACGUG
RNAcentral lists this ribosomal RNA (497 nucleotides) under uncultured bacterium. RNAcentral describes it as "partial 16S ribosomal RNA". It matches the Rfam family "Bacterial small subunit ribosomal RNA", at positions 28 to 507 of the family's 1533-position model. The record is from RNAcentral.